UCAGCCCGAGUCCACAGGAUUACGAUACCU
RNAcentral lists this non-coding RNA (30 nucleotides) under Mus musculus (house mouse). Lineage: Eukaryota; Metazoa; Chordata; Mammalia; Rodentia; Muridae. The record is from RNAcentral.